UACGUAGGGACCAAGCGUUGUCCGGAAUCAUUGGGCGUAAAGAGCGUGUAGGCGGCUUGUUAAGUCUUGCGUGAAAUCUCGGGGCUCAACCCCGAGCGGUCGUGAGAAACUGGCAGGCUAGAGUGCGGGAGAGGAGAGUGGAAUUCCUGGUGUAGCGGUGAAAUGCGCAGAUAUCAGGAAGAACACCCGUGGCGAAGGCGACUACCUGGCCUGUUCUUGACGCUGAGGCGCGAAAGCUAGGGGAGCAAACGGG
RNAcentral lists this ribosomal RNA (253 nucleotides) under uncultured bacterium. RNAcentral's name for it is "partial 16S ribosomal RNA". It matches the Rfam family "Bacterial small subunit ribosomal RNA", at positions 524 to 776 of the family's 1533-position model. The record is from RNAcentral.